RNAcentral lists this long non-coding RNA (1571 nucleotides) under Marmota monax (woodchuck). The record is from RNAcentral. Lineage: Eukaryota; Metazoa; Chordata; Mammalia; Rodentia; Sciuridae.
UUCUUUUUGCAUUGAUGGGGAUUGAACCCCAGAACCUUGCACAUGCUAGGCAAGUGCUCUCCAACUGAGCUACAUUCUGAUGAGUCUGUCCUUCCUUCCUCUUCCUUCCUUCCCUCCCUCUCUCCCUCCCUCCCUCCCUCCCUUCCUUCCUUCCUUGACAAUGUCUUGCUAAAUUGUUCAGACUGGUCUCAAACUUGUCAUCCUCCUGCCUCAGCCUCCUGAGUAGCUGGGAUUAAAGGCAUGUAUCCCUGAGUCUGGCAGUUUUACAUGUUUUCUAUAAUGAGCAUGUAUUUCUUCAGUUAAAAAUGGUUUUUUAAGUAGCCUGCUGCAAAGGGAUGGAUCUUCUUUGAACUUGAAGGCUGGACUUUCUCUUCCUGAAUGUUAAGUGGAAUCCCAGGUCCCUUGCUGGGUCUUCUGGGCUCCAAUUCCACCACCCAUAAGGUUAAAUUCUCACCACUAAGAGUAGCUCUCCAGCCCUUCACACAGCCGAAAGCUCAGCACCAGGGACAAGCGCUCUGGCUUUAAGAAAGGAAGUGCUUUUCACUAUAGUGUUUUUCAGAAUUUUCUCAGAGAGUUGCUGGGCUUGUUUUAACAAGUCUCUUCUCUUCGGGUCCUAAUUUGGAUGAUUUUGGAAAACUGUGCCACAAGACCCCUCCCACCCUGCUACAGCUGAGUGACGCAGACCAUGGCUAUACCGCAGAGUCAGGGCAGGAAAUUACAUUCUAACUGUAGGUUUUUAUUCAGAAAUCCAGCAACCUCACCACAAGCUCGAGAGCCCUGGAACCUCAGUGCCCUGACCCACAAGAUCAAAGCUUCGAGUGGCAUCUCUCCAAGUGAACUUUUAACAAAUGUAGCGUUGCCAGUUAUUUUGACCUUCCAAAUACAUGGUCAUGCCAAAAUUAAGUUGAAACUCCAUUUUUUCCCUGCCAAAUCCACUCCCUGCUCUCCUCAGCACACCCUCAUGUGGGGGGAACAAGCCACUGAGGUUACAUUUUGAGGAAAGUUCUUUUGUGUUCUGUGAGAAGACCAUAUAUUAACACCAACUAUGUAUAAGUUUGUGUGUGUGUGUGUUGUUGUUUGUGUGUGUGUGUUGUUGUUGUUGUUGUUUUUGUACUGGGAUUGGAUCCAGGAGUGCUCUACUACUGAACUACAUCCCCAGCUCUUUUUAUUUUGAGACAGUCAAGCUAAAUUGCUGAGGCUGGCUUCAAACCUGUUAUCCUCCUGCCUCAGCCUCCAGAGGGAUUAAAGGCAUGUGCCACUGUGCCUGGUCACGUAUAAAUUUUGUGUAUAGUGUGAUGGAGCCAUUUUAAUUUAACUUGCUGUCUUUUCAGCAAAUAAAAAUGAAGAAAUGCAGGGAAGGAAGAACUUGUUUUUAACACAAGGUCCUGCAUGUGGUCGACCUCAGCAAAAGAGGCUUCUCUGGAACAAAUGAAAAACCAAGCCUGGCCUUGCCCCAGGACUCUGGAGAGAGCCUACAAGAAAAACUUUGUUAUUCUUUCUCCAUUCCUCUCCAUGACUCAGAUCCUACCUGUCCUUCAGACCCAGCCAAAAAAAAUACACAUAAAGUUUUC